UCGUCCUCUCACGUGCCGCGCACGUGGAUCAUCCCAUCUUUUUCGCGCGAUGCGCUUCGUGUGUCCAUUUUCUUUCUCGGCUUAGGGUUAGCCGCAUAAAACACAAGAAUCUCUCGGCCGCUUCUUUCUUCCGCCGUCUCUUCUCCAGAUCUUUCCACCGUCUUCGUUUCUCUCUCUCUGUUCCUUUAAUCAUCCUUUUCUUCCACAUUUUUUUCGUGCAUUCUUGUUCUCGUCAGAUCUUACCGUCUCUUCUUGUCAGAUCUUGCAUUUUUUUUUUGAAAAUAGACAACGAGUACACUAUCUGUUCUUGUCGGAUCUUUUUUUUUUUUGCUUUUUUUCCCUUUUCUGAUUGCUACUACUAUUUUGUUGUUUAUGAGGAUUAUGUUAUUCUUUUUAAUUUUUAGAUUUUUUAUUUCUGUAGCUUGGAUGAGCCCGUGAGGUGGGGUUUCAAAGAUUUCCACUUUAUUGAUGCAAGAAUUGGAUGUUGGGUACUAGCACUUGAAGAUAUAUGCUUUAGAUUGAUCCUUUUACGUGCGAGGUCUGAUAGGAGUUUCUUCCGUCAGGUAAUUUUUUUGUUCUUGUUUUUCUUGCAAAUUCUAUUUGUCUCUGUCUUUCAGUUUUGCUAUAUUUGUCAUUCUUUAUUGACUUCCUUUUAUUUUGUUUUCUUUUCUGGGUGCUGAGCUGUGUGUUAGGUUGAGCAAUGUAUAAAUGAGGAGAAAGCAAGAGCUUGUCAUUUUCUCUGCUCACCUUCAAUUGAGAAGAUGUUGUGGUAAUGCCUACAGUUAUAGAAAUAAUAGUAGAUAUACCUGAGGAUUCACAAGUGACACUUACAGGGAAUAUCGACGAACAAGAUUUUGGAUGCGAGAAAGCUUUUAGCGGUCCAUGUUCAGACAUGCCAUCUAACCAAUUACUCCAUGUCUCACGUGAACGUUGAAUUGAGUGAUCGUGUCGCUGGGCGGCUAAGAGGAAAGAAUCUGUUGUCCUGCCUGUGUGACACAUUCAUGUUUUCUGAUUAGGAAUGCAGCUCAAUGUUAAAUUGAUUAUUGUAAUCUUUUAU
Coffea arabica (coffee) is the source of this 1057-nucleotide non-coding RNA. The record is from RefSeq and is a predicted model, not a curated record. Lineage: Eukaryota; Viridiplantae; Streptophyta; Magnoliopsida; Gentianales; Rubiaceae.